CUGAGUGCAUGAUGAUGUAAAGUUAUCCCUGUCUGAAGGUCAAGGGGCCUCUCUGUGGAACAUGGAUAUCUGAAACUCAG
Small nucleolar RNA from Phodopus roborovskii (desert hamster), 80 nucleotides. RefSeq annotates it as small nucleolar RNA R38. Lineage: Eukaryota; Metazoa; Chordata; Mammalia; Rodentia; Cricetidae. The record is from RefSeq and is a predicted model, not a curated record. The transcript has a single exon.